Molecule: ribosomal RNA, 393 nt
Filed under: Theraphosidae sp. BAH_28362_A07
Lineage: Eukaryota; Metazoa; Arthropoda; Arachnida; Araneae; Theraphosidae
Description: partial 16S ribosomal RNA
Rfam family: Bacterial large subunit ribosomal RNA
Source: RNAcentral
AUAGCCGCGAUAUAGUGCUAAGGUAGCAUAAUAAUUUGCCUGCUAAUUACAGGAUAGAAUGAAAGGUUGAACAUGAGGCCUACUUUAUUUUUUAUUUUAGUUUAAACUUAUAUAAAAGUAAAAAAGCUUUUAUUACUAAGAGGGACAACAAGACCCUGACGAGCUUAACUUAUGUUUUACUGGGGCGGUAACUAAACAAUUUCUUUUAUACUAUUUAAUUUCAACCCUAAUUAGGAAAAAGAAGCUACCGCAGGGAUAACAGCAUAAUUUCUUUCAAGAGACCUUAUCAAAAAAGAAGAUUAUGACCUCGAUGUUGAAUUAAAAUUCUUCUCUUAGCAAAAUUUUAGAAAGAAAGUCUGUUCGACUUUUAAAUAUUUACGUGAUCUGAGUUCA